Molecule: ribosomal RNA, 358 nt
Filed under: uncultured soil bacterium
Lineage: Bacteria
Description: bacterial SSU rRNA
Rfam family: Bacterial small subunit ribosomal RNA
Source: RNAcentral
AGAACGAACGCUGGCGGCAUGCCUAACACAUGCAAGUCGAACGAGACCUUCGGGUCUAGUGGCGCACGGGUGCGUAACGCGUGGGAAUCUGCCCUUGGGUUCGGGAUAACAGUUGGAAACGACUGCUAAUACCGGAUGAUGACUUCGGUCCAAAGAUUUAUUGCCCAGGGAUGAGCCCGCGUAGGAUUAGCUAGUUGGUGAGGUAAAGGCUCACCAAGGCGACGAUCCUUAGCUGGUCUGAGAGGAUGAUCAGCCACACUGGGACUGAGACACGGCCCAGACUCCUACGGGAGGCAGCAGUGGGGAAUAUUGGACAAUGGGCGAAAGCCUGAUCCAGCAAUGCCGCGUGAGUGAUGAA